This 498-nucleotide ribosomal RNA is filed under the name uncultured bacterium. RNAcentral describes it as "partial 16S ribosomal RNA". It matches the Rfam family "Bacterial small subunit ribosomal RNA", at positions 28 to 523 of the family's 1533-position model. The record is from RNAcentral.
GAUGAACGCUAGCUACAGGCUUAACACAUGCAAGUCGAGGGGUAGCAGGGUAGCAAUACCGCUGACGACCGGCGCACGGGUGAGUAACACGUAUCCAACCUUCCCAUAACUCAGGGAUAGCCUUUCGAAAGAAAGAUUAAUACCUGAUAGUACUUUUUCAAGGCAUCUUGAGAAAGUUAAAGAUUUAUUGGUUAUGGAUGGGGAUGCGUUCCAUUAGAUAGUUGGUGAGGUAACGGCUCACCAAGUCUUCGAUGGAUAGGGGUUCUGAGAGGAAGGUCCCCCACAUUGGGACUGAGACACGGACCAAACUCCUACGGGAGGCAGCAGUGAGGAAUAUUGGUCAAUGGGCGAGAGCCUGAACCAGCCAAGUAGCGUGAAGGAUGAAGGUCCUAUGGAUUGUAAACUUCCUUUAUAGUAGAAUAAAGUGACCCACGUGUGGGUUUUUGUAUGUAUACUAUGAAUAAGGAUCGGCUAACUCCGUGCCAGCAGCCGCGGUAA